AAAAACAUUUCUUACAAAAUUAUUUUAAGUAAAAUCUGCUCCAUGAUAUAUAAAUAGCCGCAGAAAUUUAACUGUGCUAAGGUAGCAUAAUCAUUUACCUUCUAAUUAAAGGUCUGUAUGAACGAUUUUACAUUUAAAUUACUUUUUUAUUAACUUCUAUAAAAUUUAAAUUAAACAUAAAAAUGUUUUUAUUCUUAAAAAAGACGAUAAGACCCUAUUGAACUUAACCUACGUUAAGCUGGGGAAGCUAAUUAAAUACAAUUUUAAUUAAUAUACAGAAAUUAAUUUCUAAUACAGUUACAUUAAUAAGUUACCAUAGGGAUAACAGCGUAAUAUAAUUUUAAAGCUCAUAUUAAAAAUUAAGCUUACGACCUCGAUGUUGAAUU
This 386-nucleotide ribosomal RNA is filed under the name Neomaso patagonicus. Its description in RNAcentral is "partial 16S ribosomal RNA". Lineage: Eukaryota; Metazoa; Arthropoda; Arachnida; Araneae; Linyphiidae. The record is from RNAcentral.